RNAcentral lists this ribosomal RNA (492 nucleotides) under uncultured bacterium. Its description in RNAcentral is "partial 16S ribosomal RNA". It matches the Rfam family "Bacterial small subunit ribosomal RNA", at positions 29 to 507 of the family's 1533-position model. The record is from RNAcentral.
AGUGAACGCUGGCGGUAGGCCUAACACAUGCAAGUCGAACGGCAGCACAGUAAGAGCUUGCUCUUCCGGGUGGCGAGUGGCGGACGGGUGAGGAAUACAUCGGAAUCUACUUUUUCGUGGGGGAUAACGUAGGGAAACUUACGCUAAUACCGCAUCCGACCUACGGGUGAAAGCAGGGGAUCUUCGGACCUUGCGCGAUUGAAUGAGCCGAUGUCGGAUUAGCUAGUUGGCGGGGUAAAGGCCCACCAAGGCGACGAUCCGUAGCUGGUCUGAGAGGAGGAUCAGCCACACUGGAACGGAGACACGGUCCAGACGCCUACGGGAGGCAGCAGUGGGGAAUAGUGGACAAUGGGCGCAAGCCUGAUCCAGCCAUACCGCGUGGGUGAAGAAGGCCUUCGGGUUGUAAAGCCCUUUUGUUGGGAAAGAAAAGCAGCAGGUUAAUACCCCGCUGUUCUGACGGUACCCAAAGAAUAGGCACCGGCUAACUUCGUG